AUCCUUUUGCUAGGGUUAGCUGUUCUGACAGUGAGGAUCAUAUCCGAGUCGAACAAAUUGCUAGUUGAAAAAAACAUCCUACCCCUUCUUCUCGUCUUUAAGGCGUUGAAGAGAAUUUCUGGAACACUUCCGCAUGC
This 137-nucleotide small nuclear RNA is filed under the name Cutaneotrichosporon oleaginosum. Its description in RNAcentral is "Trichosporon oleaginosus U4 spliceosomal RNA". It matches the Rfam family "U4 spliceosomal RNA". Rfam says of the family: U4 small nuclear RNA (U4 snRNA) is a component of the major U2-dependent spliceosome. The structure of U4 snRNA from yeast and human has been reported. Lineage: Eukaryota; Fungi; Basidiomycota; Tremellomycetes; Trichosporonales; Trichosporonaceae. The record is from Rfam by way of RNAcentral.